AGAGUUUGAUCCUGGCUCAGGAUGAACGCUGGCUACAGGCUUAACACAUGCAAGUCGCGGGGCAGCGCGGGGGUGGCAACACUUCUGGCGGCGACCGGCGCACGGGUGAGUAACGCGUAUCCAACCUCCCCCACACCACGGGACAGCCCGCUGAAAAGCGGAUUAAUACCGUAUGUUCUCCGAAGCGGACAUCCAAUUCGGAGCAAAAGAGUAAUCUGGUAUGGGCUGGGGAUGCGUCUGAUUAGGCAGUUGGCGGGGUAACGGCCCACCAAGCCGACGAUCAGUAGGGGUUCUGAGAGGAAGGUCCCCCACAUUGGAACUGAGACACGGUCCAAACUCCUACGGGAGGCAGCAGUGAGGAAUAUUGGUCAAUGGGCGGAAGCCUGAACCAGCCAAGUAGCGUGAGGGAAGACGGCCCUAUGGGUUGUAAACCUCUUUUAUGCGGGGAUAAAGUGGGCCACGUGUGGCUUUUUGCAGGUACCGCAUGAAUAAGGACCGGCUAAUUCCGUGCCAGCAGCCGCGGUAAUACGGAAGGUCCGGGCGUUAUCCGGAUUUAUUGGGCUUAAAGGGAGCGUAGGCCGGCUGUCAAGCGUGCUGUGAAAUGCGGGUGCCCAACACCUGACGUGCAGCGCGAACUGGCGGUCUUGAGUGCGCGGGAGGCAGGCGGAAUUUGUGGUGUAGCGGUGAAAUGCUUAGAUAUCACGAAGAACUCCGAUUGCGAAGGCAGCCUGCCGUAGCGUUACUGACGCUGAGGCUCGAAGGUGCGGGUAUCGAACAGGAUUAGAUACCCUGGUAGUCCGCACAGUAAACG
Molecule: ribosomal RNA, 811 nt
Filed under: uncultured bacterium
Lineage: Bacteria
Description: bacterial SSU rRNA
Rfam family: Bacterial small subunit ribosomal RNA
Source: RNAcentral